Rhea pennata is the source of this 3256-nucleotide RNA transcript. It is a transcript of the gene named tyrosine aminotransferase, with no coding region annotated. The transcript is spliced from 13 exons. The record is from RefSeq and is a predicted model, not a curated record. NCBI's taxonomy places the organism in Eukaryota, Metazoa, Chordata, Aves, Rheiformes, Rheidae.
GGUCCCCUCCAACCUCAAUCAUUCUGUGAAGACAUCCAUUCUGUCUGUGUAUGCAGUUCCCCUUCACACAAGAACCAUGCUGGUGGGUGUUAUGAAGUCUGUGCUGGGAUAGACAUUGCACUGUUCAUUUGGAACUCAUCCCUGCUGUUGAACUGGGGUGUAUAGCUCAUCUCUGCACUCAGUUUUGAGACAGGCAUGCUAUGUUGAUCCUUAGCUCCAUUUUGUCGUGGGAAGGAGACACAGAAACCAUCUGCAACAGGGAAUCUGAAGUUUUUGCUUUGUUACCACCAGCCCCAUUGGAUCAGUUUCAUUUGCUAUAAAUAGGCUAACAAGGCGCUGUUGGCAGAGUAACUGCAGCAGCAUAGGGCUGGUUUGCAUCCCUGGGUGCAAACCUCACUGAAAUGGUGAGGUAUUCGUUCAGACUGCAAAUCCUGCUUGGACUGCCAGGGGAUGCAACAAAGCUUCUGCUCAGUGUGUCUGCAGUGUGGAAGGGUCCCUCAUCAGCUGUGUCCUGAACACCCGUGAGCAUAGCACCUGACUGCUCAUGGGGCUAAUUACUGUCAGGAAAGGGCCACAGUUUGAUGAAUUGCCUUUCAGCAGAACAGGUGAAUAGGGCAGUAUGGUCAAGAGUGUGAGCAACUUACAGCAGGAUUACAAGACUUGGUGAUGGUGACAGCAAGAAUGAGCUCAGUGGCCCAGGAGGUCUCUGCUUACCCUGUGACAUGUCCCUAAUCUUCUGCAGGUAGAAAACCCUAAGUCAGCAGCAGUUCUUAAGCAAGGCUUUGGCUGGUUGGGACAGGUUUUUACUUUGUGCUGCAUGCUCAGGUGCCUCAAUAAGCACACCUUACUUUCAGGUGCGCUUAUUGAGGUCUAGAAAGGCAGCUUUUCCUCUGCUGUGCCUUGCUUGUUACCCAGCUUCCGUCAGGACCACAGACCCUUUGCUUGGGGUAGUGUCAGCUCCCUGAUAACUCUCCUGGCUUUGCCAGUCUUGCUUCAUUUGCUAGGCACUGCCCUCUUAUUGAAGGUCUCUGGGCUAGGCUGAUCCUCCCUGUUGCUCUGCUGAUGGAGGCAAGUGUCUGUACCCCACAAUUUGACACUGCCCUGCAUCCUGAGAGCAUGGGAUCAGCUCUACACUUUCGGUAUCCAAGGUUGAUUUUAACAGCACUGAGCUUGUGUCUGCAAACUGAAGGGACUUUACAGAUGUGAACACACACAGUGGGCUGAUCCUUGUGAUUACAGCUUGAGGUCUGCAAGUUGGUAACUGCAGGGGAGUGAUCUGGCCCUCCUGUCAGGGGAACAUUGAAUCUGCAGUCAAGCAGCAACUACAACAGGGAGCUAACUUUUGGUGAGUGGCUGUAAGGGAGUCAGCUCCUCCCUAGCACAGCAAGCCAUGCUACGCAGUGGUAAGGCAGGUACAGAAAAUGCCUUUGUCUCUGUCCUGCUGCAUCUUGCUCUCAUUUAUGUGUGGGAUUUCACCCCACCUUUGCCCUCAGUACAACCCUAUUUGCUGCUGCUAACUGACUUGAUUAUGGACAGUAGGUAGGAUCUGAUAGCUUUCAAAGAUCUUUUGGAGAGCUGUGGGCUGUGUCCCCAGAUGGGCAGAACCCUUGUCUGGCCUGUUGGCUAAGCCCAAGAAAUCUACCUCCCACUGACAGUUCUCAGGAUGGAUUCAUACCUGAUCCAAGUGAAUGGCCAUGGUGAUCACGCUCCUGUGCUGGAUGUUCAUCUCAGUACCAAUGGGAACAACCUGUUGCUGGGGAAGAUGAAGGGCCGGAAGCCAAGAUGGGCUGUCAGGGCUUCUGAAAUGUCAAAGAAGACUUUCAAUCCUGUCCGAGCCAUCGUAGACAGCAUGAAGGUGGAGCCUAACCCAAAGAAAGCCAUGAUCUCUUUGUCCCUAGGAGACCCAACAGUCUUUGGAAAUCUUCCCACAAAUGAUGAGGUCACCCGGGCUGUAAAGGAGGUUUUGGACUCAGGACGUUACAACGGUUAUGCUCCAUCUGUUGGCUACCAAUCCUGCCGGGAAGCAGUGGCCACAUACUACAGCUGCCCAGAGGCACCUCUGGAGGCCCAGGACGUCAUCCUAACGAGCGGCUGCAGCCAGGCCAUAGAGCUUGCCUUGGCAGUGCUGGCCAAUCCAGGCCAGAACAUCCUAGUGCCACGGCCUGGCUUCUCCCUUUACAAGACUUUGGCACUGUCCAUGGGAAUUGAAGUCAAGCUCUACAACCUCUUGCCAGAGAAGUCCUGGGAAAUUGAUCUGAAGCAUUUGGAGUCUCUGGUGGAUGAGAAGACAGCUUGUCUCAUUGUGAACAACCCAUCCAACCCCUGUGGCUCUGUGUUUAGCAAGGGCCAUCUCCAGAAGAUCUUGGCAGUGGCCUCAAGACAGUGCAUCCCCAUCCUUGCUGAUGAGAUCUAUGGAGACAUGGUGUUUGCAGACUGCAAAUAUGAACCUAUUGCAACUCUUAGCACCAAUGUGCCAAUCUUGUCUUGUGGUGGCUUGGCAAAGCGGUGGCUAGUCCCUGGCUGGCGGAUGGGCUGGAUCCUGAUCCAUGACAGGAGAGACAUCUUUGGUAAUGAGAUCAGAGAUGGCCUUCUAAGACUCAGUCAAAGGAUCUUAGGACCCUGUACAAUUGUCCAAGGAGCACUGGAACAUAUCUUGCACCGAACACCCCCCGAGUUCUACCACAACACCCUCAGCAUCCUUAAGUCCAAUGCUGACCUUUGCUAUGCUGCUUUGUCAGCUAUCCCUGGCCUCCAGCCUGUCCGGCCUGCAGGAGCCAUGUACCUCAUGGUUGAGAUUGAGAUGGAGCAUUUCCCUGAGUUUGAAAACGAUGUGGAGUUCACAGAGCGGCUCAUCUCAGAGCAGUCUGUUUUCUGUCUGCCAGCCACGUGCUUUGAGUACCCAAAUUUCUUCCGUGUGGUGAUCACAGUGCCUGAGGAAAUGAUCUUGGAGGCCUGCAGCCGCAUCCAGGAGUUCUGUGAGAUGCACUACCAGGGUGCUGAGGGGACCCAGGAUAUGGAGUGUGACAAAUAACCACGACGGCCUCCUGCUCCUCCAGGCCAGGUCUUGGUUUAAAAAAAGUAUUGCUGCUCCAGGCAGGGAUACAAGGAAGAGACAGGUACACUCCUUGACCUGCAAAAAUAGAGCUUCUGACAUAAGAAGUACAAGAUGCUUAUAUGGCCAUGUGAAGAUAAGGGAAGGCCUGCAACUGUGUUCAUGCCAUUUAUUGUGCACACCCUCUCACUUUGAAUUCAGGAG